RNAcentral lists this ribosomal RNA (459 nucleotides) under uncultured bacterium. Its description in RNAcentral is "partial 16S ribosomal RNA". It matches the Rfam family "Bacterial small subunit ribosomal RNA", at positions 338 to 795 of the family's 1533-position model. The record is from RNAcentral.
CCUACGUGAGGCAGCAGUGAGGAAUAUUGGUCAAUGGGCGCGAGCCUGAACCAGCCAAGUCGCGUGAGGGAAGACGGUCCUAUGGAUUGUAAACCUCUUUUGUCGGGGAGCAAAAGACGCCACGCGUGGCGUUCCGAGAGUACCCGAAGAAAAAGCAUCGGCUAACUCCGUGCCAGCAGCCGCGGUAAUACGGAGGAUGCGAGCGUUAUCCGGAUUUAUUGGGUUUAAGGGGAGCGCAGGCGGAAGAUCAAGUCAGCGGUAAAAUUGAGAGGCUCAACCUCUUCGAGCCGUUGAAACUGGUUUCCUUGAGUGAGCGAGAAGUAUGCGGAAGGCGUGGUGUAGCGGUGAAAUGAAUAGAUAUCACGCAGAACUCCGAUUGCGAAGGCAGCAUACCGGCGCUCAACUGACGCUCAUGCACGAAAGUGUGGGUAUCGAACAGGAUUAGAUACCCCUGUAGUC